UCUCUUAUUAUUAUUAUUAUUUUGUUAAUACCCUCUCACACAAUGCCCCCUUUUCCCAUCGCAAUCUUCUUCUUCUCCUUCACAGACCAGCAGUCAUCGCCUCUGUCUUUCUCUUCUCUCCUUCGUCCAGUCGUCGGUUGUCUUUGUCUUCAACCGAACGCCAGCAGCAAUCCCUUCGUCACAUCUCCGCCUACCCAAGCCGCCACGUCUUCAUUCGUCAAGGUGAGUCGAUCCCUUAUCGUUUCAUUCGCGCAUCUCCCUUCAACCUUCACCGCUCGUUGAAGCCCCGUCGUUUGUGCCGUCAUCUCUUCUUCCCCAUGUGUCGUCCGAAGGAGCCCAGCCACCACUGUCGCACUUGUCUAAGCUGCGCACCAGACCCGAGCCGACCCGAGCUAUCUCCUCUUUCUAGCCAAGCCACACUUGUUUUUCCCUUGCUCACUGUCGUCUGACUCACUUAGUGUUCUGCCACUUUUGCCUCAUUGUAAGUUUUGAGGUGCUUUAGAGAGGUGAUGCUUGAAUUCUCGGAUUAUAUAGCAGGUUUGGUUGGAGUUCGAUUCUUCAUUUUGCUUGGGUGGAUUCGUUGGACUUCGAUUUAAGCAAGGAUUUUUAGCUAUCCCAAGGUAAAGGUAACAUGCGAGGUAGACUAGCGAGGGGUAAGAAGGAUUCAUGAAUGUCAUAUGAGGACAUCUUUUUCUUUUUGCUUUCGCUAAACGUCUUUAAUUUUAGUUGUUUUUAAGGAUUGAAAAUCAGUCAUGUUUAGGAUA
Cucumis melo (muskmelon) is the source of this 764-nucleotide long non-coding RNA. RefSeq lists it as uncharacterized. The record is from RefSeq and is a predicted model, not a curated record. The transcript is spliced from 4 exons. Lineage: Eukaryota; Viridiplantae; Streptophyta; Magnoliopsida; Cucurbitales; Cucurbitaceae.